CAGCUUGUUGGUGAGGUAAUGGCUCACCAAGGCGUCGACGGGUAGCCGGCCUGAGAGGGUGACCGGCCACACUGGGACUGAGACACGGCCCAGACUCCUACGGGAGGCAGCAGUGGGGAAUAUUGCACAAUGGGCGCAAGCCUGAUGCAGCAACGCCGCGUGAGGGACGACGGCCUUCGGGUUGUAAACCUCUUUUAGCAGGGAAGAAGCGAGAGUGACGGUACCUGCAGAAAAAGCGCCGGCUAACUACGUGCCAGCAGCCGCGGUAAUACGUAGGGCGCAAGCGUUAUCCGGAAUUAUUGGGCGUAAAGAGCUCGUAGGCGGUUUGUCGCGUCUGCUGUGAAAUCCCGAGGCUCAACCUCGGGUCUGCAGUGGGUACGGGCAGACUAGAGUGCGGUAGGGGAGAUUGGAAUUCCUGGUGUAGCGGUGGAAUGCGCAGAUAUCAGGAGGAACACCGAUGGCGAAGGCAGAUCUCUGGGCCGUAACUGACGCUGAGGAGCGAAAGGGUGGGGAGCAAACAGGCUUAGAUACCCUGGUAGUCCACCCCGU
RNAcentral lists this ribosomal RNA (549 nucleotides) under Microbacterium sp. RNAcentral describes it as "bacterial SSU rRNA". It matches the Rfam family "Bacterial small subunit ribosomal RNA", at positions 242 to 803 of the family's 1533-position model. The record is from RNAcentral. Lineage: Bacteria; Bacillati; Actinomycetota; Actinomycetes; Micrococcales; Microbacteriaceae.